This 1023-nucleotide long non-coding RNA is filed under the name Marmota monax (woodchuck). Lineage: Eukaryota; Metazoa; Chordata; Mammalia; Rodentia; Sciuridae. The record is from RNAcentral.
UUCUUAGCUGGCUUCAUAGUACUAAAUAGCUAUUGCUUGUUAAGUGCUUUUAAUAGUUGGCCCUGCACUGAGCUCGAGUCUCACCUCAGAGUUUCACAGGGCAGCUGCAGAGGAGCCACAGUGUCAGGGAGCUCUUUCCUGGGCACCUUACCUUGUUAGUGUCCUUUAACUUUCAUGUAGUUGACAAAUGAAUAUGGGCUGCUUGCUAAGUCACAGCACCCUUGGCUAAAUUCUGGAGGUUAAACCAGGAGGAAGUUACUGCCAGGGUGAGAGGCAUACCAAGGCCACUGGUGUAGGGAAGAGGCAAGGAGGGCAUCAUCAGAAGCGGGCCUAGGGAUGCUUCAGCAAGGCAGGGUGCUGGGUUACGAGUUUGCUUGGCCUGGAUGCCUAGCUCACUUGCACUUAUUGGAAUGGGUGGCCAAAAUUCUUUCAGUGGCACAGUCACCUCAGAUUAUUCCUGUCACUUAAUCUGACAUAGUAAACUAUUCAAGGUGAGUUGGUCUUGGACCCAUCCGAGGGGGCUAUUAGGAGAGACGCCUGAGAGUCUCAGCAUCUGUUAUAACACAAUAGCCCUGUAGCUGAGUUUCUGCAUGACUAACAAGCUAGACCUGUUCCACCUAAGGAGUUUCCUAGUCUUUCAAUUUAUUUGUGGUAUCUGUUCUAGAAAUCGGUUCCCAGGGUAUUGGUCCUGUGAAUAACCUUAGAAGUUGGGAUUGGAUAGAUAUAUAAUGCACACUUUGUAGAACUUUCAAAAGAAAUAUUGAAAAUGUUAUUUUUUAAAAGGAAAGAAAUAGUUGUGUUUUCUUACAAUUUGUGUCCAUGAGAAAUUGUUCUGAUAACUUUAGAAUUCAGGUAAGAUUUAUGAGAUAUUUUGUUUGCAUGUAAAUGUUAUUAAGUAGCAUACAAGUCGCUUGUUACUGGCACUUUACACUUCUUGUAAAGCAAUUGAAAAUGCUUUACAUUUCAAAGGAUUUUUUUAAGUAUAUAUGUUGUAUGACCAAAAGGAAUUUAAUAGGUGUUUCC